RNAcentral lists this ribosomal RNA (274 nucleotides) under uncultured bacterium. RNAcentral's name for it is "partial 16S ribosomal RNA". It matches the Rfam family "Bacterial small subunit ribosomal RNA", at positions 523 to 796 of the family's 1533-position model. The record is from RNAcentral.
CUACGGAGGGUGCAAGCGUUAAUCGGAAUUACUGGGCGUAAAGCGUACGUAGGCGGUUAGUUAAGAUAGAUGUGAAAGCCCCGGGCUUAACCUGGGAACUGCAUUUAAAACUGGCUAACUAGAGUUAAGUAGAGGGGAGUGGAAUUUCAGGUGUAGCGGUGAAAUGCGUAGAGAUCAGAAGGAACACCAGUGGCGAAGGCGACUCCCUGGACUUGAACUGACGCUGAGGUACGAAAGCGUGGGUAGCAAACGGGAUUAGAUACCCCAGUAGUCC